AUGGUGUAUGCGGUGCCAGGGCACAUACCACCCUGCCCCCUGGCAGCAGCAUUGCUGCAUUCCAGAUACCAGAGACCCUCUGGGCUGCGAUUCACUGUGCUGUCCCAUCGCUCCCCCUUCCCAAACACAGCCUCCCACCGUGCCCUGCUCCCAGCCGGCCCCUCAUGUCCCAGCCCUGCCGCCUCCAUCCAUCGCAGCAGACAAAGCCCGGCCAGACAAAGCCCAGCCCCGGCCCUGGGCAGCCUCCUGUGCUGCACCGCACGGCGAAGGCACAUCCCCUUCUGCAGCACCGCCAGCACCCACAGCCCCAUACCUUCCUCCAUAGGCGUCGGGAGCACGUUGGCACCAGCAGUGCAGCGAGGCCACGGGCACCCAGCCCACCACCACACACCCAGCAAGCAUGCAAACGAAGGCAAGUCAUACCUUCCUCCUCUCCAGCUCCAUCAUCCUCUAUCCGUCCUGCGCCGGCCAAGCGGCACUCCGCCACGCUGCCCGUCCUCCAUGUGCCGCACGACGAUGGGCUGCAGACCCUCCUCUCCCCUCCGGCUGGCUUCGGCCCCACGCUGCCUGCUGGCAUUUUGGCAGCCUCGCCGCUCCAGCGAUGGCAUGCGUCCAUUUUUUUUUUUUCUCCUCGCUCCCUUUCACAAUCCAUCCCCAGCCUCGCUGCCUCCGGAGCCGCCUGUGGUGCCAGCGCAGGGAACUUGGCAGCGUGUAGCGUGGGGAUGCUCCGCAGCUGAGCAGAGCCCCUCUGCCAUCACCCGCCCUGGCACGGGGCCGGGGCCACGGGGGGCUGUUGUUGUUCCCAGCACUGCUGCCAAAAGCCAAACAGGGGGGGAAAAAAAGGAAAAAACGCAGAGCGAGGAUCUGGCAGCGGUGCCAUCGCCGCGCGCAGGGGACCUUUCCUUUUGGCACAUCCUCAUCCCUCUCUGGAGCACCCCGGUGCCACGUGGGGAGGCUCGGCCCCAUCUGUCCCCACGUCCCCAUGCGUACCCCACACCGAUGAGCAGGAGGCGACGACGGCAGCAGAGCCGUGCGGCGACGCUGCGUGGUGAGCACGGCUCCCAGACACACCUCUUACCCAGCAUCCACCUGCUGCGAGAGGGGGGCCCAGGAAAUUGGGAAGGAGAAAGCGGGGAGAGGCUCUGUGCCAAUGGGUGGGAGGUUUUGGGGUCCCUCCCGGCUGCGAUGUGUGGCCUCUAUGGCCUUGUGCCGUGUGGUGUCCACAUGCCGUGCCCCAGCUGUGACCACCAGCCAUCAGUAGGGCAGGUGAAGGCACUGCGACCCUCCGUGCCUCUCCAGUUUUCACCUUUCUGCCCAAAAUUCCUGGUCUUUGCAGCUUUUUGGAGAUGGAUGCAGCCAGAGCUAGAGCUUGGCUUCGUCUGA
RNAcentral lists this long non-coding RNA (1383 nucleotides) under Phasianus colchicus (ring-necked pheasant). Its description in RNAcentral is "lncRNA (ENSPCLG00000021697.1)". The record is from RNAcentral. Lineage: Eukaryota; Metazoa; Chordata; Aves; Galliformes; Phasianidae.